This 1178-nucleotide long non-coding RNA is filed under the name Toxoplasma gondii VEG. Lineage: Eukaryota; Apicomplexa; Conoidasida; Eucoccidiorida; Sarcocystidae. The record is from RNAcentral.
AAGCUAGUCCGACCGACAUGAACUAGAAGCAGGGUGAUAGAUUUUUCAUCAUUCCUAUUUACAAUGAGGGAAAGGGUGCCAACGGCGCCCAGGGCGGAGUCCCCGUCGGCAAUCGAUGGCGUGACCUGGCCGGAGUGGGCUUGCUGGAAGAUGUGUCAGCAGUCGCGUCUCUCUUACGCAAGCUGCUAACCCAAUCAUCGCUCGUUUCGUCAGUCAUCGCAUUCUUUUAUUCUAUCGAACGAGAGUAGAUACGAAACACCUGCCUUGAGCCCCGGUUGUCUCAUGCCGGCGCGCCUUUGCCUUUUGACAACCGCUUUUUACUGUCUUACAUUCAAUAGUCUACCACCUGCUGAGUGAUCCUUGUAGGAGAGGUGUCCCAUGCACGCAACCGCUGGUUAUGUAAACCUUGCUAUUGGUGGCAUUCAAAAGACAAGGAUGAGAGAAGCUGAAGCCCGCCCACGGUUGUUUGUCUUUUCGUCACUACACUGUGUCAACUACGUCUGUUAUCCUUGCUUGUAUGCAAUUCCCACCAUUCUCCGACAGCUUUUUAUGCGGGUGGGGCGAUGCUGCGACAAUGUUUCUUGAUUUCUCGUUUUGCCACCCCCACGACAAAAAGUACGACGACAAGAGGAUACGUCAUUUUGGUUCAUCAGGCUGGAGAGUGUGACACCGCCGCCGCUUCAGUGUGUCGCGGUACGUAUCAACUUACUGCUUCGACUGCCUCCGGCAAACGUGUAGAGCUGCAUUUGUCGCCAUGAACGGGAUAUCCUGUUGAGUGAAACCGCCUCCAAGUGGCUGUGAUGCUCGUGCCCGUAACAGCUUCCCAUUUGGUCGAAUCGAGGGAUCGCUACCCCGUCGUGGUACAGCCCAGGACAAGUGCAAGGGAUAACAGCCAAUCCCCUGAAAGCAGUCGCCACAGAAGGCAGAUGCAGCAGAAUGCUCAACGCGGGCAGCACUUUUCCUCCCAUAUAUAUUUACUUCAGGAGUUAACAGUUCCCUUGUGGCUGGUCGAAAACAUUUUUUCCGUUAAGCGUAGGUGUGUGUCUUCAUCUAUGGAACAAGCCGUGUGUCGAUAGCGAAUACAUCUUUUGUUUGCGUCCUGCACUCGACUUGACGAGGCGGCUACAGUGGAAACGAAAAAAAAGGGUUUCAGGAGAGUGUGCAGAUUUGGCGUAGCU